RNAcentral lists this long non-coding RNA (3425 nucleotides) under Sus scrofa (pig). RNAcentral describes it as "lncRNA (ENSSSCG00050043186.1)". Lineage: Eukaryota; Metazoa; Chordata; Mammalia; Artiodactyla; Suidae. The record is from RNAcentral.
UCAAAGGCAUAUUCAAUCACUUUCACCAGGCUAUAUUUAGAAGUAAGAAUGUCCCAGUAUAUUGUAUGUCAUUGUAGGUAUAUUUUAGAGAGAAUUUUGAUCAUAGCUACAAAUCAAAUGCAUUUCUUGUAAACUUGUAAUGAGAAAAUUCCAUCUACCAGAUUAGAUUCUGAUGAGCAAUGUUUCAUUGCACUUUCACUAAUAAUCUGUGUGCACUUAGGCAAGUCACUUCACGUCUCUAAUCCACAAUAUUUCGGACAAAUGAAAGGUAAACGAGGAGACAAUGUCUAAGAUGCUUUUUUUUUAAACUCUAAAAUCUAUUCUAUCUCUAUAAAUUCCAAUUCUAUUCUAUCUGUAGAAUUUAAAUUCAAGGCCUCUACUUCCUCUUUCUCCUAUUUGAAAGAUCCUUCCAGUUAUUUUUAUUCUGAUUCUUACUCCCAAACUCUCUCUGCCCCCUAUGGUUUCUCCAUUACCAGCAGAUACUAUUACAUGCUUUCAUGGACAGUGAUUGGUGAAGGAAAUAUUGAUUGCACUUCUCUUUUGCUGCUUUCAGAGACAUAUCUUGGAUGGUUUUAUCACCCUCAUGAACCUUGUCUAGAGAAUGGGUGUAGAGGUUUGAAGAUAGAGGUGCAGAUAAGUAAAACCUGAGUUGGUUUCCUAACACAAGGCUUACAUUUUCCAUCAAUUCAGUCAGUUAAAUACCUAGCAAAUAUAUGAUAGACUAGACAUAGUCCUUGGCCUUAAGAAAUGUAUACACUCUACAAAAAAAGUUGGUGCUGAUUUGGAGUUCCCAUUGUGGAUCAGCAGGUUAAGGACUCGACAUAGUCUCCUUCAGGAUAUGGGUUUGAUCCCUGGCCUUGCUCAGUGGAUUAAGGAGCUGACAUUGCUGCAAGCUGUGGUAUAGGUCACAGAGGUGGCUUGAAUCCAGUAUUGCUGUGGCUAUGGCAUAGGUCGGCAGCUGCAGCUUCGAUUUAACCCCAUAGCCUGGGAACUUCCAUGUGCCACAGGUGUGGUGGCCAUAUAAAGAAAAAAAAAGGUUGAAGUACAUGGAAGGAAGAUUUGGGUUUGGCUUAGUCAGCAGAAUCUAAUGGAGGAAAUUUGACUUACAGAGUGUAUUUAAGGAAGAAUAAUAUGUGUGAUUCUUUGAUGCAUAACUCAUUCAACAAAACACUUACUUAGUGGCUAUGAUGCAUCUUCUCUAAAUGCUGGGAAUACAGCAGUGGGCAAAAUGGGAAAAAACUUUGUCCAUACAGAGCUUUCCUUCUGAUAGAGGUGUGUAAGAGAAAAUAAGUUAAAAAAAUAUAUAUAUUACAUCAAAUGAUGAUAAGAACUAUAGAAUUAAAAGGAUACUUUGGUUAGUAAAGUAGGCAUUGAGAAUGAUCUAAGAAGUGAUAUAAUCAGACCAUUCCAGGCUAACAUUUGUCCUGUAUGUUUAGAGGGGUUAAGUAACAUAACUAAGGUCACCCAGCUUAUUAGCAAGAAAGGAAUAAAACCCAGGCUUAUCAGCUCCUACUCUAGUGUUCUUUUUACUCUUUACAAUCAUGCACACACCUUCUAGAUGGUCAAAUCAUACAGUUCAAGAGGUGGGAGUAAAGAGCUUGUGUGGAACCCAAGGAGGCAGAUACUUUGUGUUGGGGGAAAGUGGAAGAUAUGAUUAAAUGGGAAGGAAAUGCCAAAUCUGGAAAGGCAGACAGUGAAGUUCAGCUUUGAUAUGGUGAUAAGAAAUGAAUAAAAUGAUCUUUAGAAAAGUUUGACAACAUUUAGUUGAUUAUUAAUUCGCCAGAUUAAAAAAUGCUCCUCUGGUGUGACUGCCCUCUUCUCCCUUUCCUUCUCUCCAUCAUAGUUCCCUGAAAAAUAAUUCCUUUGUCUAAUGCUAUUUACCAUCAGGUGGAGCAGUUAUAUGUUUUAAGAAUAUCAAAGACACUGGCUAUGGUUUAUUUCAAAACUAGAAAGAAGGCAUUUUGGGUAAACACAAAUAUUUUACUGCAGCUCCACAUUUAGGGAUUAAACUGCUGGUGAAAUGAAUAUAGAAUGAGAACUAAAUCUAGACAUUAGAUUUGGAUAAAGUGAGCAAGUUGAAUCAGAUGUAAAUUAAGAGAUGUGGCUACUCAUACUUGCAUCAUAAAUUGGGAGCUAAGUACUAAAUUUCCUUCAGAAGCUAAUACAUAAAUUAUAAACCAGAUCAUACAUUUCCUUAAGUGCAGCAGUCAUUGUUGCUGAUUCAUUUUCAAAUUUCCAAUAAUUAAGAGAGAAAGAGAGAGUAUGAGUGAGAGAAACCACCAACAAAAUGUACAAAUGAGGGUUUAUUUGCAUAUAUGAAGACUCUGUAACAGCAAUGUGAGUGCAGAAAUAGCUUUAGUUUUCACUUUUCUUUGAGAAAGAACAGGAGCUUCAAGUAGGAAGAAAAUACAUGCGUUAAAAUACUUAUCACAGGUUCAACAAUCAGAAAAUUAUCAAAUAGGGCAAAUAAACCUUAUGGUUGUAGCUGCUGAUAACAUGUUAGAUAUGGUGCUUACUUUGGCCUAAAUCUAGUGCAGGUCUUAUUUUGGAUGUGAUGGGUAUUUUGGAAAGGCUCCAAGGUCUUUUGUAUAAGGUUAUAGACAGGGAAUUUUGAGCCUUUAUUAUAUGGGGGUCAUAGUACAUUCAAGGAUCUAACUAUGCAUUUUGGGGGCCAAGCAAUUUUUAGAAAAUGUUCUAAGCCCGUGGAUCUGUAAGUCCAAAAAGAUAUUCAGUCCAGUACAUAGGCUACUUAGGUUUUCCUGCUCUAUGAUUAGGGUAGGGGUGGGAGUAUUAGCUCUAAUACUUGUAGGUCAUCGACUAUUGAAGUUUUUCCACCGAAAGACCAGAAUUACUGGCAUAGUUAAUGUGAAGCAACUGUUACCCAAGAGGGUCCCUCCUACACAUUCACUUUAUUUCAGGCUUCUGGCUGUCUUGGGGUUAAUGAUUCAUAAAACAAAAAGACUGUCAGCAGUAGGAAAAAUAUGUCACUGAAAUUAAGCACAGUAUUGGAGGUCAAAGGAGGAGUUACCCUCAGGCCUUCAUGCAAAGCAAUGUAUAGACACUCAGUCAUAAGUAUAGAAAGGUUCAGGCACAAGAUAGAUGGUCAUUACCUAUUUUACUUCCUUUCAGUAUUCAUGCCAAAUGUUUAUAUCUGAGAUAAUCGAAUGUAUAUGGGAGGAAAAGUUUAAAUAGCUUGAAAACUCUUUUAGGUAACUAUAUGAUGCUACAUAGCUCUCCUGCUGGCUCACAAUAAUGGUUCUGAGUGGUCCAGAAAUUAUUUCAGGAGUUCCUGUCAUGGCUCGGCAGUUAAUGAACCUGACUAGCAUCCAUGAGGACACGGGUUCGAUCCCUGGCCUCUCUCAGUGAGUUAAGGAUCUGGCAUUGCCGUGAGCCAUGGUGUAGGUUGCAGACGUGGCUUGGAUCCC